Molecule: ribosomal RNA, 301 nt
Filed under: uncultured bacterium
Lineage: Bacteria
Description: partial 16S ribosomal RNA
Rfam family: Bacterial small subunit ribosomal RNA
Source: RNAcentral
CAGUAGCCACGGUAAUACGAGGGGGGCAAGCGUUGUUCGGAAUUAUUGGGCGUAAAGGGUGCGUAGGCGGCUUGACAAGUCUUGUGUGAAAUCUAUGGGCUCAACCCAUAGUCUGCACGGGAAACUGUCGGGCUUGAGAAUGGGAGAGGUGAGUGGAAUUUCCGGUGUAGCGGUGAAAUGCGUAGAUAUCGGAAGGAACACCUGUGGCGAAAGCGGCUCACUGGACCAUUUCUGACGCUGAUGCACGAAAGCUAGGGGAGCAAACAGGAUUAGAUACCCCAGUAGUCCCUGUCUCUUAUAC